AAAAGACACAAUAUACCCCUCUUUUAAAUCCACUCAUUCGUCUUCUUCCUCUCGAAAGAGAAAGAACAAUCGCUGCAUUGCCGAAUCUGAGCAUUUGUGUUCUUCCUCUCGAACUAGGUACUAUUCCAAGAAACUCACAAGCAACCGGCAACUGGCAACUGAGAACUAGCAACCAACAACUAGCGACGUGCUCACCAGCAUCUUAUUCUCUUCGUACUCUACUGGUUAACCCUCUUCUUUUAUUCUCCACAACGUCCUGUUUCAAGAGAUUCCACCUACAUCCGGCAUCCAGUAAUCGAGGACGUACUCACUGACAUCCUACUCUAUGCAUACUCCUCCUCCAUCGCUUAGCUUUGUUUUUCUUAUCUCCAACAACAGUGUGUCCCCUUCCCAAGAACCCUAAUAGUGUCUUGUUCUCUCCACUCAUUCUCUACAGCGUACUGUUCCAAGAAACUUCAUAGGCAGCUGGCAACCAGCAUCUUAUUCUCUCUAUACUCCAUUGGUUAACCUUCUUCUAUUCCAUAACGUCUUGUGCCAAGAGACUCCACCGACAUCCAGCAUCUGGCAACUGGCAACCGGCAAUCGAGGACGUGCUCACCGACACACUGGUGGUUAAGUAACCUCAACCAAUACAAGAAAAAAUUGAGCAUUAUUUUCUUAUAGUUCUUCCAAUCAGGACUUAAAGCUAUGAUAUGGUUGAUAUCCUGCAACUGAUCAGUUUUGUGGAGUUCGAGCAAAGAGUUUUAUUAUAUGGGUUGUCAGUUGUCACUACGUUUUCCCAAGACUUGCUUCCUAAUUACUUCAUAAGGAGUUCAAGCUUCAUAAGGCAGCUCAACACCAUUUUGUCAAUUAAAGAUGUAUGUGCAUCUUUGGGACUUGAGAGGAAUGUGCAUCAAUGCCCGACAAGCUAAUUUGAUGGAAGCAAAAGCAAUAGAAACCAAAGUUUAUGGCAUUGGAAGCAAAAGUGGAUAUGAUACAAUGAGCACAAGGACACACUCGAAGAAUGACGAUCUUGACUUUGUUCUUCUUUUUUUGUGUAACCUUGAUGUGUUUAAAGGUUGUCUUGUGUAAUGAUACUUAACUUGAUAUUGAAACCAUUAUAUUUGUAGUUUUUUUUUUGUUAUUUUUUAAGCUAGAAAAUCAAUUUUCAAAUGGUCA
Nelumbo nucifera (sacred lotus) is the source of this 1158-nucleotide non-coding RNA. NCBI's taxonomy places the organism in Eukaryota, Viridiplantae, Streptophyta, Magnoliopsida, Proteales, Nelumbonaceae. The record is from RefSeq and is a predicted model, not a curated record.